This 633-nucleotide unclassified non-coding RNA is filed under the name Ceratitis capitata (Mediterranean fruit fly). RNAcentral describes it as "transmembrane protein 189-like, transcript variant X2". The record is from RNAcentral. Lineage: Eukaryota; Metazoa; Arthropoda; Insecta; Diptera; Tephritidae.
AUACACAAAUGGUCACAUACAUAUUGGGGCCUACCGAGAUGGGUACUGUUCUUACAGCAAUAUCACAUAGUAUUGCCGCGAAAGCAUCACCGUAUUCAUCAUGUAGCACCGCAUGAGACGUAUUUCUGUAUAACCACAGGCUGGUUAAAUUGGCCGUUGGAGAAAAUAAGAUUUUGGCCAACUUUGGAAGCAGUUAUCGAGUAUUCAACAGGCUGUAAGGCACGCGAUGAUGAUCUUAAAUGGGCCAAAAAAAUGACAUAACUGUAUUAUGAGCUUUCAUACUUUGGAUCUUCAUUUUGCAUAAGUAUAUUUGAAACAAAUAAUGCAUAUGUAACAGUAUAUCAUUUUUAUUAAGCUGAAUGUACAAAUGCUGAAUAUACCUACAUAUAUACAAAAAUUACAAAAAGGCAUAAAUUUGGCUUUUUAAGGUAUUUUCAAAACUUAUACACUCACACAUACAUUUAUUUUCACGGAAACUCGUGAAUAUUGUGAAAACAUCAACAAAUUAAAUUAUUAACAAAUAUCACAAGCUAUUAAUUUAAGUAAACACUCUAAGCUUUUUUACAAUUAUACACCACAUAGCGCUUAAUUAAAUGAAUAUAUCAUUUAUUAACAUUUUAAUUCUAAGCUUUU